Molecule: non-coding RNA, 37 nt
Filed under: Nostoc punctiforme PCC 73102
Lineage: Bacteria; Bacillati; Cyanobacteriota; Cyanophyceae; Nostocales; Nostocaceae
Also listed under: 1 other name
Source: RNAcentral
AUUGCAAUCAAAUAAAAUCCCUAUUAGGGAUUGAAAC